Long non-coding RNA from Mugil cephalus (flathead mullet), 446 nucleotides. RefSeq lists it as uncharacterized. Lineage: Eukaryota; Metazoa; Chordata; Actinopteri; Mugiliformes; Mugilidae. The record is from RefSeq and is a predicted model, not a curated record. The transcript is spliced from 2 exons.
GCCAGGCGGUCAGCAGCUGCAGCGGAGGAGGAGGAGGAGGAGGCGGCAGCAGCGUGCGGGUCUCUACGGUGGUGCUCGCCUUGCAGAGAAAGACGCGGCCAUACGCAUAGCGUCGGAGCGGAUCUGAAUCAGCCUCCCUCCUCCACCUGCUCUCUGUUGGCUUGUAACCGUCUACAAGUGGCCGCGGAAACGAGGGAGAGGUGCGUGCGCGGCAGAACACCUGCUGAAUAUCCCCGGCGUUCAGGUGAUGGCAUCGCUGUGUUCAUCCCUCUCCUCCGGUUGCCCUUGGCGACGGCGAGGAAGACAGGCGAAAGGAUGGCUAGGAGGAUGAUAUUUAUGUUUUUUUUUUCCCCCGUAAAAACAUGUCGAUAAACACCUUUUUACGUUAAAUAAAUCAGAAAAAAAGGACAAAUUCAUUUAAAUAAAAUUGCCUGAUCUAAUUGCAA